Molecule: ribosomal RNA, 408 nt
Filed under: uncultured bacterium
Lineage: Bacteria
Description: partial 16S ribosomal RNA
Rfam family: Bacterial small subunit ribosomal RNA
Source: RNAcentral
GCCGAACGCUGGCGGCGUGCUUAACACAUGCAAGUCGAACGAAGUGGCGAACGGGUGAGUAACGCGUAAUCAACCUGCCCUUCAGAGGGGGACAACUGUUGGAAACGACUGCUACUACCGCAUACUCAGGGAGGGGAUUGCGUGUGAUUAGGUAGUUGGAGGGGUACCGGCCCACCAAGGCGAGGAUCAGUAGCCGGCCUGAUGGGAUGAACGGCCACAUGGGGACUGAUGCAAGGCCCAGACUCCUACGGGAGGCAGCAGGGGGGAAUCGUCCGGAAUGGACGAAAGUCUGACGGAGCAACGCCGCGUGAGUGAUGACGGCCUUCGGGUUGUAAAGCUCUGUUAAUCGGGACGCGGUACCGGAAUAGAAAGCCACGGCUAACUACGUGCCAGCAGCCGCGGUAAUAC